CUCGGGAAGUAUUGUCAACUGGGAUGGAUGCUGUGAUCAGGAGAGGCAAUAAACGUCUGGCCAUAACCAUGGCUUUCCCAUUGUGAACAACUGAGACCAAUAGGUCCAGUACCAGAGGCCCUACAACAACUUAAAGUAUCAGAUUUACUAUUGCCUGGUAGUUCUGACUGGGAUACAGGAAAUAUCGACCGUUAUUUACCUUUCCACAAAAUUCUGACUGGGAUACAACAACUUAAAGUACGACUUCGGUCUCCUCGCCCCUCAUGGCAGAAACUUUGGCUGUUAUAAAAUCCAUGAACUCUGCCCUUGCUCGCGGUUUAGACGACAUCUCGAUACUCA
RNAcentral lists this long non-coding RNA (339 nucleotides) under Brassica napus (rape). RNAcentral describes it as "long non-coding RNA (BNAP_LNC011981)". The record is from RNAcentral. Lineage: Eukaryota; Viridiplantae; Streptophyta; Magnoliopsida; Brassicales; Brassicaceae.